Molecule: transfer RNA, 75 nt
Filed under: Escherichia coli
Lineage: Bacteria; Pseudomonadati; Pseudomonadota; Gammaproteobacteria; Enterobacterales; Enterobacteriaceae
Description: tRNA-Gln
Rfam family: tRNA
About the family: Transfer RNA (tRNA) molecules are approximately 80 nucleotides in length.
Source: RNAcentral
UGGGGUAUCGCCAAGCGGUAAGGCACCGGUUUUUGAUACCGGCAUUCCCUGGUUCGAAUCCGCGUACCCCAGCCA